RNAcentral lists this unclassified non-coding RNA (405 nucleotides) under Hevea brasiliensis (rubber tree). The record is from RNAcentral. Lineage: Eukaryota; Viridiplantae; Streptophyta; Magnoliopsida; Malpighiales; Euphorbiaceae.
GACUGAUAAUGCAGGUGCUCUUUCAUGCAGAAGGGGACGCGGAUGCUAAUACAGUCCCAAUCAAUUAAAUUUGGCCAAAUAGGCCAUUCAGUUUCUGCCAUUUUUUUUUUAAGCCAUCGUUUCUUUCCAGAACUAUCUGCAUACAAAUAUAUAUUGGCAAGUGUACAAUUUUUUACACUAUGUCAUUAUAUCGUUACACCCAUAUUUCCAGCAUUCCCUUCUCUCUUUUCUUCUCAACCUCGGCCUGCUUCCAUCGAAAAGAGCCCCCAAUACCAUUCUUCUAGGAGCAGGUGCGGAAGCGUUGCUCAUUUCUUCUCUGUUUUUUUUCCCUUCUUCUACCAUUUUCAGUUGCCUGUGCCGCCUUUUCCUUCUAACCACCAUUGAAGCGUCUUUUGAGUCUACAUU